RNAcentral lists this transfer RNA (85 nucleotides) under Felis catus (domestic cat). It matches the Rfam family "tRNA". Rfam says of the family: Transfer RNA (tRNA) molecules are approximately 80 nucleotides in length. Their secondary structure includes four short double-helical elements and three loops (D, anti-codon, and T loops). Lineage: Eukaryota; Metazoa; Chordata; Mammalia; Carnivora; Felidae. The record is from Rfam by way of RNAcentral.
GCCUGGGUGGUUCAGUUGGUUAAGCCUCUGACUUCAGCUCAGGCCAUGGUCUCACAGUUUGUGGGUUCGAGCCCCGCUUCAGGCU